GAGGAAUAUUGGUCAAUGGACGGAAGUCUGAACCAGCCAAGUAGCGUGCAGGAUGACGGCCCUAUGGGUUGUAAACUGCUUUUGUAUGGGGAUAAAGUUAGGGACGUGUCCCUAUUUGCAGGUACCAUACGAAUAAGGACCGGCUAAUUCCGUGCCAGCAGCCGCGGUAAUGCGGAAGGUCCAGGCGUUAUCCGGAUUUAUUGGGUUUAAAGGGAGCGUAGGCUGGAGAUUAAGUGUGUUGUGAAAUGUAGACGCUCAACGUCUGAAUUGCAGCGCAUACUGGUUUCCUUGAGUACGCACAACGUUGGCGGAAUUCGUCGUGUAGCGGUGAAAUGCUUAGAUAUGACGAAGAACUCCGAUUGCGAAGGCAGCUGACGGGAGCGCAACUGACGCUUAAGCUCGAAGGUGCGGGUAUCAAACAGGAUUAGAUACCCUGGUAGUCCGCACAGUAAACGAUGGAUGCCCGCUGUUGGUACCUGGUAUCAGCGGCUAAGCGAAAGCAUUAAGCAUCCCACCUGGGGAGUACGCCGGCAACGGUG
This 539-nucleotide ribosomal RNA is filed under the name uncultured bacterium. RNAcentral's name for it is "bacterial SSU rRNA". It matches the Rfam family "Bacterial small subunit ribosomal RNA", at positions 356 to 896 of the family's 1533-position model. The record is from RNAcentral.